RNAcentral lists this unclassified non-coding RNA (6045 nucleotides) under Manduca sexta (tobacco hornworm). Its description in RNAcentral is "neuronal calcium sensor 2, transcript variant X2". Lineage: Eukaryota; Metazoa; Arthropoda; Insecta; Lepidoptera; Sphingidae. The record is from RNAcentral.
UACAAAUUUGAAUAUACAACUAUUUGAAAAUAAGUUGGGAUGUCACGACUUAUCGUCUAGGCACUCGGUCGUUUGUUUUUAGUAAAACGAUCUCAUGUUUACGAAUUGCAUUCACCUUUUGUUUUAGUUACUGUUAGGUUAUAGUGUAAUUUUGUGCACGGUUUUGUCAAGACAUGUAUGAGAUAUAGCCCCGGUAAUAUUAAAUGGUCAAAAUAAAUGUAAAUUAUUUCAAACAUUGUAUAUUUAUUUCUUUAUCAGAAUGUAAAUAUUAUUGUAACACGUAGAUAAAAUUAAUAAGUUGUUAAGUUAGUUUUUAAAUAGUUGUAAGAGUUUUAUAGACUUUAAGUUGCGGAAAAUAAUGUUCGAAGAUCGAAAAGAUGCGUGGUCGAGACUGCGGCAAAUUGCGGCCUGGAUGUUGGUCCACGUCGCGGUCGCUCGACGACAACGACAAAUCAAAAUGGGCUGUUUCGUUAGUAAAGACAAACUGACCAAGGAGGACAUGGACUUCCUCAAAACCCAUACAUCGUAUGAUGAGACCACUAUCAAAGAGUGGUACAAGGGCUUCAAGCAAGAUUGCCCUAACGGAAGAUUAACGCCUGCCAAGUUCGUGGACAUGUACAAGAUGUUCUUCCCAUCGGGUAACGCGGUUGAAUUCUGCGACCACGUGUUCCGCACAUUUGAUAUGGACAAGAACGGUUACAUAGACUUUAAGGAAUUUCUCCAGGCGAUUCACGUAACAUCAAGCGGUACACCCGAGGAGAAGCUGAAGUGGGCCUUCCGAAUGUACGAUGUCGAUGGGAACGGCGUCAUAGACAUCCAGGAGAUGACCAAGAUCGUCCAGGCCAUCUACGACAUGCUUGGUGCUUGCUCAAGUAACCGACCCGCCGACUCCGCCGAAGAGCGCGCCAAGAACAUCUUCGCCAAGAUGGACGAGAACAAUGACGGGCAGCUGACGCAAGAGGAGUUCCUCAAAGGGUGUCUGCAGGACGAGGAGCUGUCGAAAAUGCUUGCGCCUUAAACGGGCAGCAGGACACGCGUUACUAUGGUCCGGUCUCAUAACACUACUCACAAACCCAUAUAACCCGACGGCGGAAGCGCUGCCCACACGACAUCACACUACAUUCACUCUCGCCCCUCCCACAUAAAACAACGCGACUGUAAAUAAUUUCAACAACAAACAUUUCCCCUAUCUAAACUUUCAUACAAAGUUAUCAAUACAUUUUGAAUUAUUGGUUGUUUUGGCAACUCUCUUUGGAUGUCUAUUUAUAGAUCGGAUCAAAAAUAAUUUGCCUAGGAUUUAGUAUAAAUAGAUUACGUUGCUGUCGUGUGGCGCGGCAUGAAUAAAUGUGUGACCGCGAUCAUUGGCACAGUGUUUGCGCGUUAACGUCGCGAUCCGCUCGAGUGCAGCGCACCCUACAUUUAGUUCCCAAACAUCCGAUCUAAAUAUGAAUUGGAAAUCCUCUUUAAUGCAUUUUCACCAAUCGGCUAACGGCAUUUGAAUGUUUGAUCAAUACUCUUAGCUUCCGGCAAACUCACCGUUCUAAAAACAGCUGCGGCCCGUCGCGGUGUCAGCGGCGCGGCGCGGCCACGGCGCCUCUCCCGGCGCGCUACGUCGACGCGGACGCGGACGCGAACGCGAUAUUCACAAACGAAACUUUACCCCGACACGCACCUUUUAUCGAUGUGUAAAAAAGUAUUAUAAAAUUAAGCUACUAUCGAUGUAACGAACUUGACGUCAAUGAAUUCUCGUGUAAUGAUAUAAAUGUCCAUUCCUAUUGAUAAAUAUUUAUUAAUUACGUAUAUUCAACAUUAAAUUAUUUUCGCUGUCGGAUUGUCCGCUUCACAUUCAAUAUGCUCCAACCGUUUACGUUUAUGAGGACACACAUCCAAAGAAGCUCAGCCCACCCGAUACAUUAUCUUAUUCUGUCCGAUGACAUAUUAAUAUAAUAUUGCACGGUAUAAUCUAGUCAAUCUUAAAAUUUUACUAUUAAGGCAUAAAUUAGAGUAGCGAUUUGUGAACAGAAUCGGUCAGAUUGACCUGUGUACAGUGUACACUGGCGUGUGCAGUGCCGCGAACACUGCGUCUUCGGCAACAAGAUACGGAGUGUAGAGAACAAGCUGACCUGUUCUGUCGCGUCGAGAUGAUUUGUGUAAAAAUAACCGUAAUGUUUUCCAUGGUUAUAGUGAACUUUAAUAUAAUUUCUGUGGUAUCGGUGUUGUUUAUAAUAUAUCUCGUCAGGGAUCUUCACUCGGAAUAGUUCUAUAAUAUUAUGAACUUGUCUUGGCUUGUUCUUUGUAUUAAUCGCUUCGAAUGAUUUUUACGUUAUGAACUACUAGAGCGUCUUGUAUAGGUGAUGCACAUUAAUUCUAGUGUUGUAAUACAUUCUCAAUCGAGUAUCGACUUUCCUUCUACUAUUAUCGAUAUAUGUCUCACAUAAUUUCCCUACUGUGCCUUCUAGUUCUCAGUGUAAAUAUUUACUUUUUUUAACGUAAGCUUGCCCUUUCACAUUGAUAUUUUAUUUAUAAUUUGCGUGGAACUUUUGAAUCGAACGUGGCCAAAACGGAACCAAAAUCUUAGUGUGCCCUAGUCCUGUAUGAUUUAGAAUGUAUAUUUGUUAUCGAGGAUAUUCAACGUACCGUAAGUUAUUAUUCAUUCACCGUCGUGAUUGUGGUGUUUGUGAACGCACUGAAAAGGUCGCAAUAUUGUCCAUUAACUUAGGUUUAAUUUACCAUUGAAUUAUGUUUUUGUAAUAGUUUUCUGUGCUACAAUUAUAUUAUUAAUAAUAUAACAUUUUAUAAAGUAAGUGUCCGCUGACAGCGCAAUGUUUACGCACAAUUCUUCUUCAUGAACACAAGUAGAAGGUAAUUAAUCAUAAGUUUAUCAUAAAUUCAUUCGAUAAUGGAAACAUAACAGCAGCUAUUCAUGCAAAUAUAAUUUGAGUGAUUGGAGACAUCUUAAAUAUCUCGUGUUUAGCCUUUAUUUCCGCUUUAGUGCACUGGGAAUUAAGUUUCUCAUUAAUUUAUUGUCGAUACAUUCCACAGUCGAUGUGCGUUAAAUAGUGUUUAAGUAUAUUUUCAACUAUCUAUUUUAUGAUUAUGAUAAUUGUUUUAUAUUCUCGUAUAAUUGUAAGUUAAUUUAUUUUUGUAUAUAUUAUUUUUUAACCAUUUCACAUUAGGGAAAAUACUUCAACAGUAAAUCAUAAAAUGAUUCGAAUCAUGCAUUAUAAACGUAGGCAAAAGGGAUCAAUACUGUCCAACUCGAAACUGAAGGUAGCUGGCACAGGGUGUUGUGAACAUAUCACAAAUUGGAUGAUUUAAUUUAAAUUUAUAAAUUGAUAUCCCAUGCAUAAUUAAUGUUUGGAGAACUCGCCAUGGGCGACACGACUCGUAUGCUUAACAGUAUUACCGCUACAUAUCUAUGGAAAAUUUAAAACACGUUCGUCAAUUAUAAUGAUUUCAGUCAUAAAAUUAGCUUAUUUAUUUUAACGCAGUGGUGCACUCGGCACUCCGGUAUUCCCUCUGGCCAAAUUUCAUUGUCAUAAAUUUUCGAUUAUUAAAAUUAAUAUUUGAUUAUGAAUUAGUAAUCAAUAGUGCUAUAACAUGUAGGGCAUGCACGCGCUAGGAACCACUUUGACGCAAUAUUAAAAUUAAAGUCACUCACCUGAAAUGACGGGAUGCGCGGACCCAACUAACGGCACAUCGGAUGAUACACUCGACUCUUGUAUCUUCUUCCGACAUCUUGUAAAUCUAAAUAAAGAAAAUUCAUCAAAGAUAAUGGGUCAACAAUUUUCACUCACAACACUUAGACUUGGAUUAUAAUUUAGGCAACAUUAACUUCAUACAAAAUGCUGGCAGUAUUAGAAGUUUAAUGUUAUCAGACACCGAUUCUUUAGAACAGGUUUUAUGAUAUUCUAACCAAGUCUCCUAAACAACUAAAGUGAGCAAACAUUAUUACACGUAUAUUUUCAUCAGUAUCAUCAAUAUGAAAUAUUUUGCUGUGGUGUUAGUACGUAGAUUGUUCCUAGCGCGUGUGCUAUGUGAACGCGAUCCUAGCCUACGAGUCAAUCUAUUCAAAAACUGUUUGAGACGAACAAAACUGCGUUCGAAGCACGUCAUGUUUCUUUUGACUAGUAGGAUCGAUCGAAUGUAUUCAUGCUAUUGUAAGAACAGGAAAUGUUUCAAAGGUCGCGAUUUUUGUCUGGCAUGUGUCUCGAAACACCAGUGUUUACACUGAGUGCGCAUUCACUUGCUAAAGUACAGUUAAAAUCGUAAAGAACUUAACAUUUUGAGUACGAACUUUGUACAUCUAAUAACUUGAAUGCAGUUUUGUUUCCGUAGCGUUUCUAUUUCAUAUCUAAGCCUUUAACUUCCACUCUCUGACACACAAAUGUUUCAAUCUAUAAGCACUUCAGCACUGAAACGUAGUGAUUUCUCCUACCAUUUUGCUUCAUAUUACGAGUAAUAUUGAUGUUGAUAUAAAUGUAGCUCUUGCGUACGUGCCAUUUGAAUUUAGUUUUGUAUACAAUCUUGAUUAAAAAUAUUGUACGGCUUCGGUGCGUCUAUGUUUCUACUAACAUACGAUAAUGCCGAUGUUGUGUUUUGAUUGCAACGUAUUAGUUGGUAAGCAAGGAAUAGCGAAGUACAAGCAUAGACGGAGAUGAUAGCCUUUAUAUGUUUAUAUCGGAUUUGUAUUUAAUUUUUUAUUUAAUCAAUGUGACAUAAUUCUUCAUGGUCUCAAACUCUUUGUUAUGUAAAGGCACUACUCUGUCUUCAAUUAAAAAUUAACAAGGUUCGUAUAAUGAAGCCUACAUUACGAGGUACGUAUAUUAUAUAGGCAAAUAUGAAUGCACUCGGUGCAAUAUUCCGUUCGCACAGAUUAUAAAGCCGUUAUUUACAUCGUAAAAUAUUUUAGUUCGCGAAUGUCUUACGUACUUGACCUUAGUAGCAUCAAAAUGGUAAUUUGUUUCAAAAUGUAGCCCGGUGUGGUUAUCGUUAAGUCUAGACGAUGUAGUUACUUUGAUAAAUACUUAUCAACAUUCGGCGACACUUCUCAUUCAGUGUUUUUUGCGUCACCGAGGAGCGUGGAUUAUUUGUUUUAAAUCUCGGUUAGUGUGUUCUUAUUUAUUUGAAUAUUAUUUGGUAGUAUUACUUGCGCAAUAUUUAUGUGAUAUUACAUUUAAAACAUUGUAUUUUUUCAUAUUAAAUUAACAAAUUAAAAAUUAAUAAUGAAUCCGGACAGAGAGAUGGAACCGUUACUCAUUAUUUUUGUGUGCCAUACAUUUAUUUAAAAUUAUAAGUUUUUAAUUUCGGACAGAGUGGUGGUUUAAUUUUUUUUAUUAUAAUUUAAUGUUAAGUAGUCCAUACUAUUUAUUGUUAGUGAGCUUUCAGCACAAAUAAUUUGUUCGCCAUAUAAUUGUUUCUAUAGUACAUGUUUCUAGCUAUAGGAUAUACUUUUAAGAUAAUGUGUAACUAGCUGCGAUAGAUGCACAAAAAUAUUUAGAAGGAAAUAUUCCAUUUUGAAUAUAAUAUCUGAUCCCGUAGUGUUUAUCGAGAUUCGAUUGCAUUUAGUUUGUGCACAUUAAUGUUAAGCGAUUAAGGAGUCUCAAACAUUGUGAAUCGGUUUGUUUUUUUGUCCGUGGGUCUCUGUCGCAUAUAACGUCUUGACAAAACUGUGACGUUCCCGAUUGUGUACGUAGCGGCGUGUACAGAGUGUACAGUGUACUGUGUCCAUUGAGCGGCGCGCAUCUGACACGCGACCGCACGCGCACCGACGCGCCGCCCUCUACGCUCCGCUACAACUCGACAAUCUCGAAGUCUGAGUAAAAACAAUUUUUUUAAAAGUAUAUACAGUGCAUAGUAUACUCAUUAACUACAGCAAUCAUAAAAGGUGAAUUACUCGUCUGAACGAUUACGAGCCAAUGCUACAAUUUAACCCAAACAAUGCAAUGACGUCAGUUCCAUAAAGGGCACAAGACUUGAGCAACUAAAAGCGAACAGGUUGUGUUAAACAUUGUAGCGUCCUUCUCGAAUAAAAACUUUAAUAAG